CUACGGGUCGCAGCGGUGAGGAAUAUUGCACAAUGGGGGGAACCCUGAUGCAGCAACGCCGCGUGGAGGAUGACGCAUUUCGGCGUGUAAACUCCUUUUAUAUGUCAAGAAAAUGACGGUAGCAUAUGAAUAAGCACCGGCUAACUCCGUGCCAGCAGCCGCGGUAAUACGGAGGGUGCAAGCGUUACUCGGAAUCACUGGGCGUAAAGGACGCGUAGGAGGGUUGGAAAGUCAGGUGUGAAAUCCUACAGCUUAACUGUAGAACUGCACUUGAAACUUCUAAUCUAGAGUAUGGGAGGGGGAGAUGGAAUUAGUGGUGUAGGGGUAAAAUCCGUAGAUAUCACUAGGAAUACCUAAAGCGAAGGCGAUCUCCUGGAACAUUACUGACGCUAAGGCGUGAAAGCGUGGGGAGCAAACAGGAUUAGAUACCCCAGUAGUC
This 439-nucleotide ribosomal RNA is filed under the name uncultured bacterium. Its description in RNAcentral is "partial 16S ribosomal RNA". It matches the Rfam family "Bacterial small subunit ribosomal RNA", at positions 339 to 795 of the family's 1533-position model. The record is from RNAcentral.